UGUGUACGUGUGUGUGUAUGUAUGUGUAUAUAUAUAUAUAUACACAUACAUACACAUACACGUACACAUA
Molecule: microRNA precursor, 70 nt
Filed under: Marmota monax (woodchuck)
Lineage: Eukaryota; Metazoa; Chordata; Mammalia; Rodentia; Sciuridae
Source: RNAcentral